This is a non-coding RNA of Petromyzon marinus (sea lamprey), 609 nucleotides long. The record is from RefSeq and is a predicted model, not a curated record. NCBI's taxonomy places the organism in Eukaryota, Metazoa, Chordata, Hyperoartia, Petromyzontiformes, Petromyzontidae.
AGGAGAGAGAGGAGCCAAGGAGGAACAAAGUGGAGAGGAGAGACAGAAACGAGAGAGAGAGAGAAGCCCAGGAGGAACAACGUGGGGACGAGAAAGAGAGGAGAGGGGUCAACAGGAGCACAGCAAGGACGUGGGGGGGGGAGCUGUAGCGCGCUACAAAUUCCCGAGUUCGAUUGUCGCUCGCGGAAACGCCCAAGACCGGUGACGAUUAUUAUCAGAACCCCUGUCCGGGUACCCCUCCCCUAGGUCGACUCAGCCUCAAAUGAGUACCUAGGUGCAGCGGUGUGUUUAAUAUAAUCAGCACUGGAGAGACAAAGGCGGUCGCUCGUGUGCCACAGUGCUGCUGCUUGCUCACAGCACUUGUCCCAAAAGUGCGUUGAGGCUACACGGGAGACAUUCCGUGUAUAAAAGAGCUUCAUAGCUCAUCGGAUUCCUCCAGCCUCGAAUAAAGAAUUCCGAAUGUUGAACCCCACGCGGCGCCAGUGACGUCAUCGCGCGCACGCGGUGUCGUCAUCACGCACGCGGGGAUGUCAUUACGUACUUCUAGAUUUGAAGCUUUCGUGACUGCAAGGAUUCAUACUCUUUGGUUUUAUUCGGUAAAGUCACGUA